GAUGAACGCUGGCAGCGUGCCUAAUACAUGCAAGUCGAGCGAACAGACGAGGAGCUUGCUCCUCUGACGUUGGCGGCGGACGGGUGAGUAACACGUGGAUAACCUACCUAUAAGACUGGGAUAACUUCGGGAAACCGGAGCUAAUACCGGAUAAUAUAUUGAACCGCAUGGUUCAAUAGUGAAAGACGGUUUUGCUGUCACUUAUAGAUGGAUCCGCGCCGCAUUAGCUAGUUGGUAAGGUAACGGCUUACCAAGGCAACGAUGCGUAGCCGACCUGAGAGGGUGAUCGGCCACACUGGAACUGAGACACGGUCCAGACUCCUACGGGAGGCAGCAGUAGGGAAUCUUCCGCAAUGGGCGAAAGCCUGACGGAGCAACGCCGCGUGAGUGAUGAAGGUCUUCGGAUCGUAAAACUCUGUUAUUAGGGAAGAACAAAUGUGUAAGUAACUAUGCACGUCUUGACGGUACCUAAUCAGAAAGCCACGGCUAACUACGUG
Molecule: ribosomal RNA, 497 nt
Filed under: uncultured bacterium
Lineage: Bacteria
Description: partial 16S ribosomal RNA
Rfam family: Bacterial small subunit ribosomal RNA
Source: RNAcentral